Molecule: ribosomal RNA, 463 nt
Filed under: uncultured bacterium
Lineage: Bacteria
Description: partial 16S ribosomal RNA
Rfam family: Bacterial small subunit ribosomal RNA
Source: RNAcentral
ACGAACGCUGGCGGCGUGCUUAACACCUGCAAGUCGAACGGAAAGGCCCCUUUGGGGGUACUCGAGUGGCGACCGGGUGAGUAACACGUGAGUAACCUGCCCUUGACUUCGGGAUAACUUCAGGAAACUGGGGCUAAUACCGGAUAGGAAUCCUUGCUGCAUGGUGGGGGUUGGAAAGCUUCGGCGGUUUUGGAUGGACUCGCGGCUUAUCAGCUUGUUGGUGGGGUAGUGGCUUACCAAGGCUUUGACGGGUAGCCGGCCUGAGAGGGCGACCGGCCACAUUGGGACUGAGAUACGGCCCAGACUCCUACGGGAGGCAGCAGUGGGGAAUAUUGCACAAUGGGCGGAAGCCUGAUGCAGCAACGCCGCGUGCGGGAUGACGGCCUUCGGGUUGUAAACCGCUUUCAGCAGGGGCGAAGCUUGUGGUGACGGUACCUGCAGAAGAAGCACCGGCUAACUACGU